This 528-nucleotide ribosomal RNA is filed under the name Acinetobacter baumannii. RNAcentral describes it as "partial 23S ribosomal RNA". It matches the Rfam family "Bacterial large subunit ribosomal RNA", at positions 1131 to 1660 of the family's 2925-position model. The record is from RNAcentral. Lineage: Bacteria; Pseudomonadati; Pseudomonadota; Gammaproteobacteria; Moraxellales; Moraxellaceae.
AGCGUAAUAGCUCACUAGUCGAGUCGGCCUGCGCGGAAGAUGUAACGGGGCUAAAACUAUGUGCCGAAGCUGCGGAUUUGACAUUAGUCAAGUGGUAGGGGAGCGUUCUGUAAGCCGAUGAAGGUGUAUUGAGAAGUAUGCUGGAGGUAUCAGAAGUGCGAAUGCUGACGUGAGUAACGACAAAACGGGUGAAAAACCCGUUCGCCGAAAGACCAAGGGUUCCAGUCCAACGUUAAUCGGGGCUGGGUGAGUCGACCCCUAAGGCGAGGCCGAAAGGCGUAGUCGAUGGGAAAAUGGUUAAUAUUCCAUUACUUCUGUGUAAUGCGAUGAGAGGACGGAGAAGGCUAAAUCAGCCUGGCGUUGGUUGUCCAGGUGAAAGGAUGUAGGCAUGUAUCUUAGGCAAAUCCGGGGUACUCUAUGCUGAGAUCUGAUAGCAAGCUGUACUUGUACGGCGAAGUGGUUGAUGCCAUGCUUCCAGGAAAAGUCUCUAAGCUUCAGUUACACAGGAAUCGUACCCGAAACCGACAC